Molecule: long non-coding RNA, 203 nt
Filed under: Elaeis guineensis (African oil palm)
Lineage: Eukaryota; Viridiplantae; Streptophyta; Magnoliopsida; Arecales; Arecaceae
Description: long non-coding RNA (EGUI_LNC038646)
Source: RNAcentral
AGCCAUUUUAUGUAUUAUCAAAGAAGAGAUGCCCUCGAUAGAUUUCCUUCUUGGGGAUUGUAAGAUAGAAGGAAAGCUAGAGAUUGCAGCUAGUUUGAUGAUGGAAUGAUGUCGAAGAGUUCAAGAAGUGACGCCCUUGAUAGAUUUCCUACUUGUGGAAUGUAAGAUAGGAGGAAGGUAGAGAUCGUUGUUCGACGAUGGAA